AGUCUUCCUGCAGCAAUAUUUAAUUUGUUAAGAGGGGAGGUCGGGAAAUGGAUUGCUUUCAUUGCAGUGGUGCUCAGGCUUUUCUUUCCUCGACACUUCCCAGAUUUAUGAUCUGAUUAUGAUGAACCAGUUAAACAAGAACACAAAACAGAGAGAAAAAAUGGGUGUUAUUUCAUCAUCACCAUCACUGCAGGAGAAAGAAGGAAGAAAGCCGAUCACAGAGCAGAGAGAAGAGAGAAGAGAGGAUUUGGGUUUAAUUGGGAGCGAAAGUGACAUCACAGAACUGAAGAAAAUGGGUCUUUGUUUAGUUUCUUUGUCUAUGGUUGUGAAUUAUUUUGGUUGAGUUUUAGAUUUUGUUUCUUUCUGUCUCUCCAUCCAUCCAUGGAUUUAUUGAUGGAACAUUGAAAAUGGCUUUCUGCAGAAAAAAAAAAAAUUGUAUAUAUAAUAAGAUUAAGAUCCAUCAUUUUCUGCAGCAGCAUUUGAUAUGCAUAUGUAUAUUAAUUUCAUGCAGAACUUCUAACAUCUUUGUGGAAUUUUUAUUUAUUUAAUGGAAAUAUGAUAAUCCAAGUAAUUCUUAUGGACAGGGAAA
This is a long non-coding RNA of Manihot esculenta (cassava), 589 nucleotides long. RefSeq lists it as uncharacterized. The transcript is spliced from 4 exons. The record is from RefSeq and is a predicted model, not a curated record. Lineage: Eukaryota; Viridiplantae; Streptophyta; Magnoliopsida; Malpighiales; Euphorbiaceae.